RNAcentral lists this ribosomal RNA (1101 nucleotides) under uncultured Davidiella. Its description in RNAcentral is "eukaryotic LSU rRNA". The stretch from base 475 to 1101 matches the Rfam family "Eukaryotic large subunit ribosomal RNA", at positions 1 to 649 of the family's 3401-position model. Lineage: Eukaryota; Fungi; Ascomycota; Dothideomycetes; Cladosporiales; Cladosporiaceae. The record is from RNAcentral.
AGGGAUCAUUACAAGAACGCCCGGGCUUCGGCCUGGUUAUUCAUAACCCUUUGUUGUCCGACUCUGUUGCCUCCGGGGCGACCCUGCCUUCGGGCGGGGGCUCCGGGUGGACACUUCAAACUCUUGCGUAACUUUGCAGUCUGAGUAAACUUAAUUAAUAAAUUAAAACUUUUAACAACGGAUCUCUUGGUUCUGGCAUCGAUGAAGAACGCAGCGAAAUGCGAUAAGUAAUGUGAAUUGCAGAAUUCAGUGAAUCAUCGAAUCUUUGAACGCACAUUGCGCCCCCUGGUAUUCCGGGGGGCAUGCCUGUUCGAGCGUCAUUUCACCACUCAAGCCUCGCUUGGUAUUGGGCAACGCGGUCCGCCGCGUGCCUCAAAUCGUCCGGCUGGGUCUUCUGUCCCCUAAGCGUUGUGGAAACUAUUCGCUAAAGGGUGUUCGGGAGGCUACGCCGUAAAACAACCCCAUUUCUAAGGUUGACCUCGGAUCAGGUAGGGAUACCCGCUGAACUUAAGCAUAUCAAUAAGCGGAGGAAAAGAAACCAACAGGGAUUGCUCUAGUAACGGCGAGUGAAGCAGCAAUAGCUCAAAUUUGAAAUCUGGCGUCUUCGACGUCCGAGUUGUAAUUUGUAGAGGAUGCUUCUGAGUGGCCACCGACCUAAGUUCCUUGGAACAGGACGUCAUAGAGGGUGAGAAUCCCGUAUGCGGUCGGAAAGGCGCUCUAUACGUAGCUCCUUCGACGAGUCGAGUUGUUUGGGAAUGCAGCUCUAAAUGGGAGGUAAAUUUCUUCUAAAGCUAAAUAUUGGCCAGAGACCGAUAGCGCACAAGUAGAGUGAUCGAAAGAUGAAAAGCACCUUGGAAAGAGAGUUAAAAAGCACGUGAAAUUGUUAAAAGGGAAGGGAUUGCAACCAGACUUGCUCGCGGUGUUCCGCCGGUCUUCUGACCGGUCUACUCGCCGCGUUGCAGGCCAGCAUCGUCUGGUGCCGCUGGAUAAGACUUGAGGAAUGUAGCUCCCUCGGGAGUGUUAUAGCCUCUUGUGAUGCAGCGAGCGCCGGGCGAGGUCCGCGCUUCGGCUAGGAUGCUGGCGUAAUGGUCGUAAUCCGCC